GUCUUCGAUGCCGAGGAUUAUUUCUCAAGUGUUUCGCAUGUUGUUGUCAAUGGGGUGGAAAAUGUAAGAAGUAAGGAGGU
Molecule: small RNA, 80 nt
Filed under: Salix viminalis (osier)
Lineage: Eukaryota; Viridiplantae; Streptophyta; Magnoliopsida; Malpighiales; Salicaceae
Source: RNAcentral